Small nucleolar RNA from Schizosaccharomyces osmophilus, 75 nucleotides. Lineage: Eukaryota; Fungi; Ascomycota; Schizosaccharomycetes; Schizosaccharomycetales; Schizosaccharomycetaceae. The record is from RefSeq and is a predicted model, not a curated record.
AUUGGGAUGAAUUUUAUAGACAAAGACAAGCAUAUGUCUGAUGCCUUUGGUUUUGAAGACAUACUAUACGUCUGA